Molecule: transfer RNA, 80 nt
Filed under: Scleropages formosus (Asian bonytongue)
Lineage: Eukaryota; Metazoa; Chordata; Actinopteri; Osteoglossiformes; Osteoglossidae
Rfam family: tRNA
About the family: Transfer RNA (tRNA) molecules are approximately 80 nucleotides in length. Their secondary structure includes four short double-helical elements and three loops (D, anti-codon, and T loops).
Source: Rfam by way of RNAcentral
GCUGCGCUGGCUGAGUGGUUAAGGCGUUGGAUUUAAUCCAACAGGGUUUCUCCGCGCCGGUUAGAAUCCCGUUCGUAGCU